RNAcentral lists this ribosomal RNA (114 nucleotides) under Petromyzon marinus (sea lamprey). Lineage: Eukaryota; Metazoa; Chordata; Hyperoartia; Petromyzontiformes; Petromyzontidae. The record is from RNAcentral.
CUACGACGCUCACGCUGAAUGUGCCCGACCUCAUUGCAUCUCAGAGGCUGUGCAGGGUUAGGCCUGGUUAGUACUUGGAUGGGUGACCACCAGGGCUUGAUGGAGCUGCGAGGU